CACGCCGUAAACGAUGUCAACUAGCCGUUGGGACUCUUGAAGUCUUAGUGGCGCAGCUAACGCACUAAGUUGACCGCCUGGGGAGUACGGCCGCAAGGUUAAAACUCAAAUGAAUUGACGGGGGCCCGCACAAGCGGUGGAGCAUGUGGUUUAAUUCGACGCAACGCGAAGAACCUUACCUGGCCUUGACAUCCAGAGAACUUUCCAGAGAUGGAUUGGUGCCUUCGGGAACUCUGAGACAGGUGCUGCAUGGCCGUCGUCAGCUCGUGUCGUGAGAUGUUGGGUUAAGUCCCGUAACGAGCGCAACCCCUAUCCCUGGUUGCUAGCAGGUAAUGCUGAGAACUCCAGGGAGACUGCCGGUGACAAACCGGAGGAAGGUGGGGAUGACGUCAGGUCAUCAUGGCCCUUACGGCCAGGGCUACACACGUGCUACAAUGGCGCGUACAGAGGGCUGCCAACUCGCGAGAGUGAGCCAAUCCCUUAAAACGCGUCGUAGUCCGGAUCGGAGUCUGCAACUCGACUCCGUGAAGUCGGAAUCGCUAGUAAUCGCGAAUCAGAAUGUCGCGGUGAAUACGUUCCCGGGCCUUGUACACACCGCCCGUCACACCAUGGGAGUGGAUUGCACCAGAAGUAGUUAGUCUAACCUUCGGGAGGACGAUUACCACGGUGUGGUUCAUGACUGGGGUGAAGUCGUAACAAGGUAGCCGUAGGGGAACCUGCGGCUGGAUCACCUC
RNAcentral lists this ribosomal RNA (734 nucleotides) under uncultured Marinobacter sp. RNAcentral's name for it is "bacterial SSU rRNA". It matches the Rfam family "Bacterial small subunit ribosomal RNA", at positions 796 to 1529 of the family's 1533-position model. Lineage: Bacteria; Pseudomonadati; Pseudomonadota; Gammaproteobacteria; Pseudomonadales; Marinobacteraceae. The record is from RNAcentral.